UUUUUUUUUUUUUUUUUUACUAUCCUGGGUGUGUUUUUUUUUUUCCUUUAUGAAGUUGAGAAUUUCUCUUUCCAUAUCAUUGAAGAGUUGAGUUGUAAUUUUGGUGGGUGUUGCAUUGAAUCUGUAGCUUGCCUUUGGGUAAUCCUCCCAAACAUGAGCAUGGGAGAGCUCUCCAUUUUCUGAGAUCUUUGAUUUAUUUCUUGAGAGACUUGAAGUUCUUGUCAUACGGAUCUUUCACUUGUUUGACUAGAGUUACCCCAAGGUAUUUUAUAUUAUUGUGACUAUUGAGAAGGGUGUUGUUUACCUAUUUUCUUUCUCAUCCCAUUUAUCAUUUGUGUAAAGGAAGGCUACUGAUAUGUUUGAGAUAAUUUUGUAUCCAGCCACUUUGCCAAAUUUGUUUAUCAACUGUAGAAGUUCUCUGGUACAAUUUUUGGGGUCGUUUAUGUAUACUAUCAUAUCAUCUGCACAUAGUGAUACCUUGAAUUCUUCUUUGUCAAUUUGUAUUCCCUUGAUUUCCUUUUUUAUCUUAUUGCUUUAGCUAGAACUUCUAGUACUAUACUGAGUACAUAAGGGUAGAGUGGGCAGCACUCCACUAUAUUUUUAUCCCAAGUGUUCUAUGCUUUUAUCGCAAGUGUUCUGUUGAUGGACAUUUGGGGUGGCCAUAUAGAGCUCUUGUGACUAACUCUGUAACACAUCCAGGAUUUCAGGUAUGUCUUGGCCAAGUGAUUUCAUUUCCUUUGGAUAUAUAUCAGUAUGUGGGAUAAAUGGAUCAUAUAGAGAAUAUGCCUUGGUUAUGAAGAACUUCAUCAUGUUCUCUUUGUUGGAUUUACUAACUUAUUUUCCCAUUCUGUUGCAUAAUAGUGAGGAAUGGAGAACACACAGGGACUAAUUCCAGACAACAAAACCUCAAAGCAAAUGGCACCUCCAUUAAGUUAAUUCUUCAUCAGGGUUCCACUUCAUAAUAAUUCUGUAAACUCCCCAGCAGCACUCAGAAGGAGCAAAUGUUCAAAUACAGGAGGAGAGUUUACACUCUUGUGGCUAUGGCACAAGAAUUUUAGGAAUUUUUGAGACUAUAACAUGUUCAUGACUCUAUGUAUGCAUUUAAGGGAUGAAAAUAUUUGCAGAAACACCAAGAAUUCACUGUGUUUCUAAAGAGUGGUUAAGGUGGACUGUUUGCCAAUUAACCCUUCCAUUUGACUUCCUCAUCACUAAACAGAAAAGUAUCCAAAAUUCAAACUAGUAAAAUGAUGUCUCUGGGGCAUGAUAUGGCCUAUACCCUCAUGAAAUCACUGCAGGUAUGGUUACUCGCACAAGAUCAAUUUGAAAAGUUCAUUGACUAUUUCAACAGGCAGUACUAAAUGGACCCAGUAAAUGGUUAAUAAAAACAAUGGUAACCUGAAGGGAGCAGAGAAUAUAUUGUGAAACCUGGAGGAGAAGGAUAGAGGAGAUGGGAGUUCUAGGGGAAGUUGUGGAAGGAGAGUGAUAUAUAUAUAUAUAUAUAUAUAUAUAUAUGAUCAUGGCUCUUUGUUUACAUUUAUGAAGUUAUCCAAUAAUAAAUCAAAGACAGCCCAUCUUUUUUUUUUUAAAUGGAGAAACCUAUCUUAGCACUAACUAAAAUCCAUCUCUGCUUCCUGAAUAUAACCAUCUGCCUCUGGUUCCUACUGUCCCUGUUUGUCCACCAUGAUGGACUAUACCUUCAAACUAUGAGUCAAAAUAAGUCUGUCCUUCCAUU
This 1732-nucleotide long non-coding RNA is filed under the name Mus musculus (house mouse). Its description in RNAcentral is "long non-coding RNA chr1:122866041-122867773". The record is from RNAcentral. Lineage: Eukaryota; Metazoa; Chordata; Mammalia; Rodentia; Muridae.